UUUAAUGAAAUAUGUAGUGCAAUAUCACCAGGUAGGAGAAUCCCAAUCAAGAAGAAGGAUCAUGGAUUUAUCACAGUCCCGUGCACUAUAAAAGGCAGAACUUUCAAGAAGGUACUAAUUGAUUCGGGAGCCAGUGUGAGUCUGAUGCCAUUGUCAAUCUACCAAAGGCUUGGUAUUGGAAAUGUCAGUGAUAUAAGGACAAAUCUGAAAUUUG
This 214-nucleotide long non-coding RNA is filed under the name Lathyrus oleraceus (garden pea). RNAcentral describes it as "Pisum sativum (pea) long non-coding RNA (PSAT_LNC024814)". The record is from RNAcentral. Lineage: Eukaryota; Viridiplantae; Streptophyta; Magnoliopsida; Fabales; Fabaceae.